Molecule: ribosomal RNA, 640 nt
Filed under: uncultured beta proteobacterium
Lineage: Bacteria; Pseudomonadati; Pseudomonadota; Betaproteobacteria
Description: bacterial SSU rRNA
Rfam family: Bacterial small subunit ribosomal RNA
Source: RNAcentral
GCUUAAUACAUGCAAGUCGAACGGCAGCACGGGAGCAAUCCUGGUGGCGAGUGGCGAACGGGUGAGUAAUACAUCGGAACGUGCCCUGUCGUGGGGGAUAACUAGUCGAAAGAUUAGCUAAUACCGCAUACGACCUGAGGGUGAAAGCGGGGGACCGCAAGGCCUCGCGCGAUAGGAGCGGCCGAUGUCUGAUUAGCUAGUUGGUGGGGUAAGAGCCUACCAAGGCGACGAUCAGUAGCUGGUCUGAGAGGACGAUCAGCCACACUGGAACUGAGACACGGCCCAGACUCCUACGGGAGGCAGCAGUGGGGAAUUUUGGACAAUGGGGGCAACCCUGAUCCAGCAAUGCCGCGUGUGUGAAGAAGGCCUUCGGGUUGUAAAGCACUUUUGUCCGGAAAGAAAUCGCGCUGGUUAAUACCUGGCGUGGAUGACGGUACCGGAAGAAUAAGCACCGGCUAACUACGUGCCAGCAGCCGCGGUAAUACGUAGGGUGCGAGCGUUAAUCGGAAUUACUGGGCGUAAAGCGUGCGCAGGCGGUUUUGUAAGUCUGUCGUGAAAGCCCCCGGGCUCAACCUGGGAAUUGCGAUGGAGACUGCAAGGCUUGAAUCUGGCAGAGGGGGGUAGAAUUCCACGUGUAGCA